AGAGAGUCAACCCUGAGGAGCAGCAGGACAGAAAGCACGGGUCCACCCGCUCCGAAAAAUCACACGCAGCAGCACCUUGAGAACGCCAGAGGAAAACCAACCAAGAGACCUAGAAUAGUCCAGACGGAGGCAAACCCAAUGGCUUCCAUCUGUCUACUCUACCAUAAAGGCCUGAUUGGUGGAGUGAUGCACUGAUGUUUGUCCGUCUUUACGCUUCUCUCAUCCUCUCAAAGGAAGUGGGUCCUUGGUUACCUGUCUGACCAAGGCCCUUCGUCCCCGGAUUACUCUGUUUGGCUGAGCAGACAGAUCUAGGAAGACUGUUGGUUGUUCCAAACUUUUCCAUUUGAGAAUGAUAGAGGCUACUGUGCUCUUGGGCACUUUCAAUGCUGCAGAAAUUUUCUUGUAUCUUUCCCCAGAUCUGUGUCUUCACACAACCCUGUCUCGCAGGUCUACGGACAAUUCUCUCAACCUCGUGGCUUGGUUUCACUCUAACAUACACCAUUAACUGUAAGACCUUAAAUAAAGACAUGUGUGCCUUUCCUAAUAAUGUCCAGUGAAUUAAUUUAGGCACAGGUGGACUCCAAUCAAGUUGUAGAAGCAUCUCAAGGACCAUUGCUAGAAGUAGGAUGCACCAGAGCUCAAUUACAAGUGUCAUAACAAAGGCUCUGAAUACAUAUGUAAAUGGAAUAAUCAUUUUAAAUGGAAUAUUUCUUUUAAAUGGAUUAAUAUGUCUUUUAUGUUUUAUACAUUUACAAAACAUUCCAAACAACUGUUUUUGUGUGGAGUGUUGAAUUGUGUGUAGAUUGAUGAGAAAAAAUAAAUAAUUGAAUCCAUUUUAAGAUGAGUCUGAAACAUAACAAAAUGUGGAAUAAGUGAAGCGCUGUGAAUACUUUCUGUGUGCACAACACUGUAUGUAUUUGUACAUGCAGUGCCAGGAUGGACUUUCUAUGUUUUGAGUCUACCUGCUCACUUACAGUUGUUUUCGCAAGUCUGGAAGUGUGAAAUUUCCCUCAUCCUCACUCACCUCACACUCGACAGUCUAUCAGGAGGAUUCAGGCUCUCUCUCUGUCUCUCUCUUUCUCUCUCUCGUUUGCUGCCACCGUCUCUGUCUCUUUGCCAUUGUUGCUCUGGGCUCUUCCACGCUUUCCAAGUUAUUUGGUUUGUGGUCCCUCAGUCAUUUGACUUAUCUCUCACAUUUGAACCAUACCUCUAUUCAGCCCCCACCCCACCCCUA
Long non-coding RNA from Alosa alosa (allis shad), 1234 nucleotides. RefSeq lists it as uncharacterized. The record is from RefSeq and is a predicted model, not a curated record. The transcript has 2 exons. NCBI's taxonomy places the organism in Eukaryota, Metazoa, Chordata, Actinopteri, Clupeiformes, Clupeidae.